CCUGGUACAUUCGGCCAAAAGAUCUUGAAGCCUUCAAGUUUGGACCCAGCAGUAAAAAUAAAGACAACUUGAUCAUCGUCAAUGGACACAAAUAUUCUACAUGCCUGACCCGUUCGAACGUUUGCCAUGUCUUUGUCAGAAGCUGGAGGAAGUUUCAAAUACAGGGAUGCACAGCAGCUUUUGCUGAGGACUUCACAGCUACACUUUAGUAAUCCGCAUAACCUCAAUCUGCAGAGUUGAUGGCAGCAUCAGCCCUUGUUGGCCACACACCAGCACAGUCAUCUUCCAGUCAGGAAGGCAACUUGGUUUUGGCUACAGAAAUCACCAGUUCCACUCCCAUUGGAUUGGCUGA
This is a long non-coding RNA of Carcharodon carcharias (great white shark), 352 nucleotides long. RefSeq lists it as uncharacterized. The transcript has 3 exons. The record is from RefSeq and is a predicted model, not a curated record. Lineage: Eukaryota; Metazoa; Chordata; Chondrichthyes; Lamniformes; Lamnidae.